Molecule: ribosomal RNA, 450 nt
Filed under: uncultured bacterium
Lineage: Bacteria
Description: partial 16S ribosomal RNA
Rfam family: Bacterial small subunit ribosomal RNA
Source: RNAcentral
GUGGGGAAUCUUCCGCAAUGGACGAAAGUCUGACGGAGCGACGCCGCGUGAGUGAAGAAGGCCUUCGGGUCGUAAAGCUCUGUCAUCAGGGACGAACGGCCGGUGGAGUGGAAAGCCACCGGAUUGACGGUACCUGAGAAGGAAGCCACGGCUAACUACGUGCCAGCAGCCGCGGUAAUACGUAGGUGGCAAGCGUUGUCCGGAAUUAUUGGGCGUAAAGCGCGCGCAGGUGGGAUCUUAAGUCCAUUUUUAAAGUUCGGAGCUCAACUCCGUGAUGGGAUGGAAACUGGGAUUCUUGAGUACCGGAGAGGAAAGCGGAAUUCCUAGUGUAGCGGUGAAAUGCGUAGAUAUUAGGAAGAACACCAGUGGCGAAGGCGACUUUCUGGACGAAAACUGACGCUGAGGCGCGAAAGCCAGGGGAGCGAACGGGAUUAGAAACCCCUGUAGUCC